AUGGUGACAUGGAUCCAUAUAUCCAGCCAAUCCAAUUCGUUGUUGCCAGUUCACUGCAACCGAUUGACUAAUUUAAGAUCAACCAGGAAGCAGGAGUAUACAGAACAAUACCAGCCAGCAUCACUGCCUGAAUUAUCAGCUAUCCGACUCCAAAGUGAUGGACGCCAAAUCAUGAAAGGAUGCAAGAGGAAAUUCCUCUCCAACCAUCAAUUGUACUUCAUCAGAGAGUCAAUUAAAUGCCUACUGCAGAAGACAAUUAUCCAUUCGAAUUCACUCCACCAUGAGGCAUGGGCUACAGCAGCAACAGUUGCAGUACUAGUUCUACAAUAA
RNAcentral lists this ribosomal RNA (330 nucleotides) under Triticum aestivum (bread wheat). Its description in RNAcentral is "partial small subunit ribosomal RNA". Lineage: Eukaryota; Viridiplantae; Streptophyta; Magnoliopsida; Poales; Poaceae. The record is from RNAcentral.